AUUGAACGCUGGCGGCAUGCUUUACACAUGCAAGUCGAACGGCAGCUCGGGCUUCGUCCUGGCGGCGAGUGGCGAACGGGUGAGUAAUGCAUCUGAACGUGCCCAGUAGUGGGGGAUAGCCCGGCGAAAGCCGGAUCAAUACCGCAUACGACCUGAGGGUGAAAGCGGGGGACCGAAAGGACUCCCGCUAUUGGCUCGGCCGAUGUCGGAUUAGCUAGUUGGUGGGGUAAAGGCUUACCUAGGCGACGAUCCGUAGCUGGUCUGAGAGGACGACCAGCCACACUGGGACUGAGACACGGCCCAGACUCCUACGGGAGGCAGCAGUGGGGAAUUUGGGACAAUGGGGGCAACACUGAUCCAGACAUGCCGCGUGCGGGAAGAAGGACUUCGGGUUGUAAACCGCUUUUGUUCGGGAAGAAAUCCUCUGGGCUAAUACCCCGGGGGGAUGACGGUACCGGAAGAAUGAGCACCGGCUAACUACGUG
Molecule: ribosomal RNA, 484 nt
Filed under: uncultured bacterium
Lineage: Bacteria
Description: partial 16S ribosomal RNA
Rfam family: Bacterial small subunit ribosomal RNA
Source: RNAcentral